This 29-nucleotide small RNA is filed under the name Bombyx mori (domestic silkworm). RNAcentral describes it as "ovarian small RNA-37512". Lineage: Eukaryota; Metazoa; Arthropoda; Insecta; Lepidoptera; Bombycidae. The record is from RNAcentral.
UUCUCUUCCCAGUCACGUAGAGCACCUGA